GACGAACGCUGGCGGCGUGCUUAACACAUGCAAGUCGAACGGUGAAGCUCCAGCUUGCUGGAGUGGAUCAGUGGCGAACGGGUGAGUAACACGUGAGCAACCUGCCCCUGACUCUGGAAUAAGCGCUGGAAACGGCGUCUAAUACUGGAUACGAGAAGGGUCCGCAUGGGCACUUUCUGGAAAGUUUUUCGGUUGGGGAUGGGCUCGCGGCCUAUCAGCUUGUUGGUGAGGUAAUGGCUCACCAAGGCGACGACGGGUAGCCGGCCUGAGAGGGCGACCGGCCACACUGGGACUGAGACACGGCCCAGACUCCUACGGGCGGCAGCCGUGGGGAAUCUUGCCCACUGGGCGAAAGCCUGAUGCAGCGACGCCGCGUGAGGGAUGACGGCCUUCGGGUUGUAAACCUCUUUCAGCAGGGAAGAAGCGAAAGUGACGGUACCUGCAGAAGAAGCACCGGCUCACUACGUG
Molecule: ribosomal RNA, 468 nt
Filed under: uncultured bacterium
Lineage: Bacteria
Description: partial 16S ribosomal RNA
Rfam family: Bacterial small subunit ribosomal RNA
Source: RNAcentral